CAUCUUAUUUAAAUGCAAAAAUCUUUGGUGAAGGCAUUGAAGUCAUCUGCAGUCCCCAACUAACUCCCAAAUCCCAAACCCUAAUCGAAGAAAGGUACAAGGUUUGCCCCACUGAAUCGACCUCAUCGGCAAAUGGACACUGAUUGCAAUUACCUCCACUCUCCUCCCUUCUGCCUCCUCCGCUGUCCCCUAGACCCCUCCUCACCCUCUACCACAGCAUCGUGUAGGGGUUCUAUGGCCGCCCCGUCAAGGUCCUCCUCGUGAUCAAGUUCAUCUUCACCUCCUUCUCCCCCCUCUCUAACAAUGGGUGGAAGAGCUGGGCUUCCAGAAUGCUCGAGAGAGAAAGGGGGGCAGAUUGGUGGUGGGGGCACCCCUUCCAGCUGCCGGCCCCCAAGGCGACCUCGCCGGACACAACUGAAGCAUCUGGCAAAGUCGUUUGGGAGGCGGGUGGCCGCCAAGCGUAACCCUAUAGCCGAUCUGCCCUCCUCCCUCUCUCUCUGAAAGGGAGGGCACAGAUUCGCGAUGGGGCCAACCCCGCCAUGCAUCGUCCCCCAGAGUGACGUCACUGGAAGUGUGGGACGUCUCCUCAGGUCGGUGCCUACGGUAAUGCCCCACCGUCAGUUUCCCUUAAACCCACUCCCCCCACGCCUUUUUUCUUUGUCCUCAUUUGCACAAGAUGUUUUUCUUCAAAUUUGAUUUUUAAUUAUCAAAGUAUAUUAAAUCAUAUACUACUUCAUUAAAAAGUUAAAAAAAUAUUUUUUAAUAUUUUCCGUCUAGUUUUUAUCGAAAGAUUGAUAGAAGGAUGGAUUUGAUGUAUAUGUAGUCAGUCACGGUCAAAAUUAAUGUAAAAAGUUAGUUGAGAUUAGAUUUAAUGGAACAUCGAUCUCUUGAUGGGUAAAUUAUUAAUUUACUCAAAAAUAAAUUUUGUUGCAAUUUUAGGAAAUCAGUACUUGGAUUUACAAUUAAUAAUGAACUGAUCACUGAUACAUCUUCUGGGUCUUGUGUCUUGGGCCUCUAACAUGGGCAGAUCCACCUAACCCCACAAAUCAAGAGCUUUUCAUUGUUCUUGUGGGCUGAGCAUCUCAGCAUAUUCAAACCCGAAAAAUCAUGAUAUUCGAAGUUGACGGGAGUGACAAAUUAUGUGAUCCCAACUAGCGAAUUCAAUGAUCCGACAUAGUUCCAGAUCUUUACCCUAACCGGAGAGCAGGCUGGACAGAGGAUGCAACCUUCUAGUUCUAAUUUGAGCUGUUACUGCAAUGGGCAGAUGCGAAAGGAGCCUCAGGAACCCCUGUUGGUAGACAACACUAUAGACACAGGCAUUGAAUGAACAAACGGCUGAAAGCUAAUAUUUGUGGUCCUUCGAGGCUUUUCCUUGCUUUUGUUUGGAGAGAUUUAUUUUAAAUUUAUAGCAUAAAAUUCACCGACAAUUAAUAUAUCCAUUUAUAUAUAUAUUUAUUAAUUUUAUUAAUUUUUUUCUCCUUGAAAGAAUUCUCUAAACUCUUUUCAUAUAGAAGACGCGAGAGUACAAUAUCGAAGCUUAGAUUAGAGGUACAUAUAUGUAUCACUACGCAUCGUUCACUGAAAUAUUCCAUGUAAUAAAUAUUCUAGCUUGAGUCACACGGUUCAUUGAUGCUUAUCACAAUGAGUUGUGUAUUCUUUUGUCGUUUGGUUGGGCGGAAUCACCAUUCUAUUCUAGCCCAAUUCCACACAUAAUUAAAGUUCGUGUUCAUCGCCUCUUUUUGGACCCCGAUUUGCAAUUCCAUCGAACUAUCAUUCUCACUUGGACUUGGAUUUGCCAUCUCCCCCUUCCCACCUCAGAUUUUGAAUUCUUUACCCUGUGGAAUUGCACCGAACCCCAGCAUGCUUUGUCGUCGCUGCCUGUUGACCUUGGCUGCUGGACCUUCGACUGACCUCCCCGAGCUGGUCUCGGCUUGGCGAUACUGGAUCUGGCCUCAUUGUGGCCAUAUCUUACUGGCAUGGUGAGUGCAGCCAUCGUGAGGUCGCAAAAACCCUAGGUUCGGGAGCCUUCGAUCGCAGAGGCUCCCCGAUGGCUCGUGAGGCUCGCCCUAGGCUUGUGAGACUCCCCGACCUCAGCCUCGAGGUCGUCUGGACCCACGACUGCCGUCACCGAGUCUCGACGACCCUCACUAAGGCUCGGCGGCUUGCGGGUUCACGUGAGCUUCCCGAGCCAAAAUCUCACCGUGCAGGUGAGAUAUGGUCACGGUGAGACCAGAUCCAGCAUCGCCGUGCUAAGAUCGGCUUAGGGAGGUUGGUUAGAGUUGCAGUAGCCAAGGUCGACGGGAGGUGGCUCGAUGACGGCGACGGCAACGAUGGCGGCGGCGACAGGCAAGGAAAUGUAAAUAGUUUUUUGUUAUUCUAUUCCAACCAAAUUUCAAAGUGCAAAAAAACAUAUUUUUGAAUAAGAAUAUCAAUUCUCGCAAUUCAAAUUCCCACCUUUUCUCAAUUCUAUUAUCCCAAUUUCAUUCCAAUGAAUCAAACGUCAUGUAAGGCAGUAGUUAUAUAGUAGUCCUUGUGGGUUCUGGAGAUCGACCAUCAAUUCAAAAAUGAGUCUAAGCACUUAGUGGUGUUUGAUAAAUUAAGUGUUUAAAAAUUAAGCACUUAAUUAGUCAAGGGAAGAAAUGUAGAAGGAAUGAAUGAAUAAGGAUAAGAAAAGUUUUGUGAGAAAUAAAGAGCACCAAUAAGUG
Molecule: non-coding RNA, 2705 nt
Organism: Punica granatum (pomegranate)
Lineage: Eukaryota; Viridiplantae; Streptophyta; Magnoliopsida; Myrtales; Lythraceae
Source: RefSeq, a predicted model, not a curated record